UCUGGAAAAAAUUAUUUAUUUUUGGAAAAAAAAAAUUCAUCAUCUAUUUAUCACAAUUACUAUUACAAUUAUGAUCUGAAUUUAAAAUUAUACACUUUACUUUUUAUUUUUAAUAAAGAGCUUCAUCUUUUCUGUUGAGAUGUGCUCCAAUCUUUUAUGCCAUGUCUGAAAAUCCAUGGAGGGUGUAUGCAAAAUCAGGAAGAACAUCUUAAAGAGUCUUUAGGAAAUAUAGUCCAUUUUGGGAUCUACCCUGUCCAAUCACUCUCCCUGAUUUGUUUUCCUGAAAUCACAUUAAUUUUAUUGAAAAUGAUACUCAAAUUUGAAUCCAAGGUUAAUUUAUUUACUGAAAUUAAAUUAACAUUGAAUUGUGGGAUAUAUAAAACAUUUCUAAGCAUAAUUUCUUUGAAAAUUGUGAUAUCGUGCAUAUUUCACCACUUGGUAUGGUGACAAAAUGCUCAAAGUCUUCUUUAGGAGUUUUAUCAAAUAGUUGGAGAUUCCCAGUCAUAUGUUGGGAUGCUCCAGUGUCUAUUAUCCAAGCAUUUUUAUAAUUUGACAAAUAAAAAGAAUAAUUCAUACCAGAGGAUUUGUUCAAAAAAUCCUUGAGCAUUAGCAACUCCACACUGGUCAGAUUUUGCGUAGUUGUGGAAGUAGAUGCUUGGUUUGCAUUUUGGAAUCUUCUUUCUUUUUAAAUUUUUUCUUGUCACUUGGAAAUCUUAUUAUGUGAAAACAUUGUUCCCUUGUGUGUCCAAAAAAAUUACAGUUAUCACAGUAGUAUCUAGUAUCUAAUUUUUUUCUUCCAUUCUUACUAUACAUACCCUUUUUUCUUGGCUCUUCUUUCUUUUCUUGAUUUUCAAUUUUCUUAAAAAAUAGGACAGUAGCUUCUUCACCUAUUCCAUCCUUAAAAUUGUUUUUAUGUUUUUUCUUUUGAAUUAUUAGGCAAAACACUUGAUUCAUUGAUGGGAGCUCAGGGUAUGCUAGUAUUUGACUCCUAAGAGUCAUAAAUUCAUCAUUCAAUCAUAAUAAGAAUCGAUGAAUUCUAUCUUUCUCCAAUUUCUUAUUGUAAAUUGAAGCAUAUUUUACAGAAUUUGCAUUCAGGUUUUUCUAUCUCAAUAAAUUGAUCCCAUAGUGUUUUAAACUUAUCAAAAAAAACUGAGACAGAUUCAUGUGAUUGAUUUAAGGUAUUUAUUUCAUACCUUAAUUGUUUCGUUCUUGAUGCAUUCUUUUGUUUGUACCUUUCUUGGAGAUCUACCCAAGCACCAUAGGUUGUCUCUGUGUGGAUGAGUGUUGAGGCAAUUUAGGGGCUCACACUGUUAAUUAUCUAGAAUAACACCAAUCCGCUGAGCAUCUCCCAAUUCUCAUAAUCCUCCCAUGUUUCUUCUAUGGGCUUCUUGAUUUUUCCAUUAAUGAUGUCUUCUUUCUUGAGACGAGUGAGAGUUUCAUUGAAUUUGCCCAAGAUACGUAAUUUUCUUCUCCAGUGAGUUUUUUUUGAACCAUCUGAGCUCCAGGAUGAUCCCUUGCAGUAAAAAAAUAUGGGGAUUUUCUAAAAUAUUUACUGAACUUCUUUUCUUGUUUCUUUACCAUUUCUUUCUUUCUUUUGUUUUUAGAAACUUGGUAGUAUUUUUCAUAAUCUUCAGCACUUGAAUAUGAAGAAUUUGUUUCCAUGUGAUCUUUUUCUUCGCUGCUUGAAUCUGUCAUUGCAGUUGCGGAAGCUGAAGGAAACUCGACAUUGACAUCUUCGCCAACUGAUACCAUAUUAUUUCUGAUGCCGUCGUCGUUUGCAGCGUAUUGGGUUCAAUCGUUCACCAGAAUGCCAAGGAGGCCGACGUGAGCAGAAGAGGGCAGAAAUUAGGUAUUCUCGACUUAACUAUCGAGUACCAACUGUCUGCUUAGGUGGACUGUUUAGAAGUUAAACAGGAUUAACUUCAAUGUAAUUCAAUUGAAUGAUAUUAAUGUUUACAAGGGUUUUAUUUAUAAUACAUAGACUCAUUAACUCUAACAGAAUUUGUAUAACUAAUAUUAUCAUAAUACUAUAUUACUUAUACAAAUUAUUUUAUUUGAGUCCACGGAUAGUUGGCCCAUUAGUUUCUUUAUUGAAACUUUUGCAACUUGCUCCCCAAGCUUUCUUGAUAUGGUGCGUGUGUGUCUUGAGACAUUUAUUUGCAUAAUAAAACUUCACGGACAAUGACAUAUAGGUCCUGUUAUAUAAUUACAUAUUUAAACUGUAUUUACAGAGUUUAUUUUACAGUGUAUUAACACUGUAAUUCCUUUACUACCCCUCAAGCGUUGGAAUAUAUAUUUAAUAUUCCAAGUUUGGAGUGAAAUGAUGUAAUUUCCUUUUCCCAAGUGCUUUUGUGAGUGAAUCAGCAAGUUGGAACUUAGUUCCAAUUUGUUUUAAUGAUAUUUUUUUUUGAUUUAUCAUUUCUCUUAUGAAACGACAAUCUACUUCUAUGUGUUUUGUCCUCUCAUGGAAGUUAAUUUAUAUUUAUUCGGAUAUCUGGAUAUCCGAAUUCGAAAUUUUUAAACGAAUUCGGAUUUUAACGACAAAUUUUUCGGAUAUUCGAAUCCGUCCGAAUAAAAUUUAGAUAUUGAUAACACUGUAUCUAUACUAUAGUGACAAGAUUAUACAAACUCUCCCCCUUCUCAGUCGACCCCUAGGGGUAUUUAUACAUUUUCCUAGUGGGCUGGGCCUUUAUCGGGUUAUACUUGUUCCAGCCUGCGGGUAGACCCGACGCACCUCGAUUGAUAGUGAUCCGCCCCGGGCCAACCCGACCCGUCCGGGUCUCGUCUGGUUUCUUUGUCAAGUUGUGGGCCUGUUGCUGUGGGCUUUUGGGGACAGGCCUGACAUGAUGGACCAGGGGUACCAUCAGAUAUCAAUUUAGGUAUCCGAAUUCAGAUAGUCAUAUUCGAAUACGGAUUCUGGUAUAUCAUCUACAGUCUUAAUUACAAAACCACAUAAGAGCCGUAAAAAUGUGAAGGAAAUAUCAUCAACAAUCUUCAAAAAAGUAUAAUAGAGAAAUAAAGAUACUGAAAAUAACGGCCCGAAAGGUAAAGGAAUUAACAAGAAAAACCGAUGUUAAAACAGUAAAAGAAUUAACUGUAAAAACGAACUCACUGAACUAAGGAUUAAAAUAAGAUUAAUGAUAAGUUUAUGAGUAAUCGAUAAUUGUCUAUUAAGUUUUCCUAUACAGGCAAUUUACCUGACACUCAUUUAAAGAAUAUCGAAGGAGUUAAAGGGGUUAAAUGCAAUAGUUUAAAUAAACAAUUGGACCAAUAUCGAAUGGGCCAGAGCAAAUAGUGGAUGGGCUAAUAGACAAUGGGCCAAAGUUUAUUUAAUUAAAGAUUGGUUGUAAACUUAUGUUAUAAAAGGAGUUUGUAAUAAAAAGUUUUAAUUAUUUGAAAGUUAACGAUCUUGUUAAUAUCAACUAACUUUUAAUGAUCCUCCUCCUUUCCCUCUACUGCCGGCGAUACUUCCGGUGACUGCUCAAGGCUCAAGGAGAAGAUAUAGUAACUCCGGUGGCUCAAAGUUAAUAAAAGGAACGGGGGUUAAGAAAAAAAAACUAAUCCUACCAAAAGAAAAUCUACAAAUGACGUUUGAAAAUUGAAUUUCUUGUCAUUUUAUUGAAUUCUUAUAUUUCAGAUCUUUUUAAAGUAAAUCUAAAUUUUAUGGACGACGGUAAAGAAUAUGAAAAUUAAAGAAGAAUAUCUUCUUCAUGAAUCUUCUAAUGAUGUGGAAGGUUCCAAGACCAGUCCGAAGAUGAUGAUGAAGACGAGUGUGAUCGACGAAUAUGAAUGUCAAAAUAUGGAGAUAUCUGAUGAGACCGAGAAUGUGUUAUUAAUUUGAGAAAAACAAUAUACCUUAGAAAAUAUAGAUUUUUUCUAAUUAUUUUCUGAUUUUUAUCUCAUUUAAAAUCAGAGCUAAAUUAAUACUAUCAACAAAAAUUCAAAAUUUCCUGAUAUUUAAAAAAAAAUUUACAGUACAUUUACAGUUGACGAUGAAAUACGAAGAAGAUGAUGAUGAUAAUAUGUUUAAUGUGAUCUAGAACGUCUAAUUAUUUUAGGAGAAGGAUGUACCAUAGGAAAUAUAGAUGGUUAUACAGAUUUGAUUACAGGGAAACACAAACAAAAAUCAGGUGUAUUAAAAUUGGGGGAAUACCGAUUUUUUUUAAAAAAAAGCACGGAACCAAUCGAUUUGUUCACUGAUUACCUGAAAUAAGGACGACGUAUAGAACAGAUAGUGGGGAGUUGAAAUUCCACGGUUAUCGAAAACCAGAUUUCGACGAUUGUUGAAUGGAAUGCGGCGAGGAACAAGCCACAACGAAGAUGAGAAGAAGAAGACUACGAUUUUGGAAGUCCGAUUGGAUGAAAACACAAAUUUCAUUGAUUCCGUGCGUCGUCGUACGGCUGCUAAAGGAGGGAGUAUGGUCGAAAACUGCGGUCCCUAUAUCUUGCAGUAGGUAGUAUGGUCGGGCGUCAACUUCAACCUCGGAAUUUAGGGUGGAAGACGGACGACUGUGAGUGGCCUAGAGACGAGAACGGUGAGAUUGGCUGACUGCAG
Molecule: long non-coding RNA, 4555 nt
Filed under: Zostera marina
Lineage: Eukaryota; Viridiplantae; Streptophyta; Magnoliopsida; Alismatales; Zosteraceae
Description: long non-coding RNA (ZMAR_LNC006172)
Source: RNAcentral